This 253-nucleotide ribosomal RNA is filed under the name uncultured bacterium. RNAcentral's name for it is "partial 16S ribosomal RNA". It matches the Rfam family "Archaeal small subunit ribosomal RNA", at positions 474 to 727 of the family's 1478-position model. The record is from RNAcentral.
UACCAGCACCCCGAGUGGUCGGGACGAUUAUUGGGCCUAAAGCAUCCGUAGCCGGUUUUACAAGUCCUCCGUUAAAUCCAGCUGCUUAACAGAUGGGCUGCGGAGGAUACUAUAAGACUAGGAGGCAGGAGAGGCAAGCGGUACUCAGUGGGUAGGGGUAAAAUCCGUUGAUCCAUUGAAGACCACCAGUGGCGAAGGCGGCUUGCCAGAAUGCGCUCGACGGUGAGGGAUGAAAGCUGGGGGAGCGAACAGG